CCUACGGGGGGCAGCAGUGAGGAAUAUUGGUCAAUGGACGAGAGUCUGAACCAGCCAAGUAGCGUGAAGGAUGACUGCCCUAUGGGUUGUAAACUUCUUUUAUAUGGGAAUAAAACGUUCCACGUGUGGGAUUUUGUAUGUACCAUAUGAAUAAGGAUCGGCUAACUCCGUGCCAGCAGCCGCGGUAAUACGGAGGAUCCGAGCGUUAUCCGGAUUUAUUGGGUUUAAAGGGAGCGUAGGUGGAUUGUUAAGUCAGUUGUGAAAGUUUGCGGCUCAACCGUAAAAUUGCAGUUGAAACUGGCAGUCUUGAGUACAGUAGAGGUGGGCGGAAUUCGUGGUGUAGCGGUGAAAUGCUUAGAGAUCACGAAGAACUCCGAUUGCGAAGGCAGUUCACUGGACUGCAACUGACACUGAGGCUCGAAAGUGUGGGUAUCAAACAGGAUUAGAUACCCUAGUAGUC
Molecule: ribosomal RNA, 460 nt
Filed under: uncultured bacterium
Lineage: Bacteria
Description: partial 16S ribosomal RNA
Rfam family: Bacterial small subunit ribosomal RNA
Source: RNAcentral